AUUGAACGCUGGCGGCAGGCCUAACACAUGCAAGUCGAGCGGAUGAAGGGAGCUUGCUCCUGGAUUCAGCGGCGGACGGGUGAGUAAUGCCUAGGGAUCUGCCUGGUAGUGGGGGAUAACGUCCGGAAACGGGCGCUAAUACCGCAUACGUCCUGAGGGAGAAAGUGGGGGAUCUUCGGACCUCACGCUAUCAGAUGAGCCUAGGUCGGAUUAGCUAGUUGGUGGGGUAAAGGCCUACCAAGGCGACGAUCCGUAACUGGUCUGAGAGGAUGAUCAGUCACACUGGAACUGAGACACGGUCCAGACUCCUACGGGAGGCAGCAGUGGGGAAUAUUGGACAAUGGGCGAAAGCCUGAUCCAGCCAUGCCGCGUGUGUGAAGAAGGUCUUCGGAUUGUAAAGCACUUUAAGUUGGGAGAAAGGGCAGUAAGUUAAUACCUUGCUGUUUUGACGUUACCAACAGAAUAAGCACCGGCUAACUUCGUG
Molecule: ribosomal RNA, 484 nt
Filed under: uncultured bacterium
Lineage: Bacteria
Description: partial 16S ribosomal RNA
Rfam family: Bacterial small subunit ribosomal RNA
Source: RNAcentral